This 1514-nucleotide ribosomal RNA is filed under the name Candidatus Nealsoniibacteriota bacterium. RNAcentral describes it as "bacterial SSU rRNA". It matches the Rfam family "Bacterial small subunit ribosomal RNA". Lineage: Bacteria; Candidatus Nealsoniibacteriota. The record is from RNAcentral.
UUCAUUGAGGAUUUGAUCCUGGUCCAGGAUGAACGCUGGCGGCGUGGAUAAGGCAUGCAAGUCGAACGGACCAAUGCUCUGCAUUGGUUAGUGGCGAACGGGUUAGUAACACGUAGGUAACAAACCCUAGAAACGGGCAUAAUCCGUCGAAAGGCGGACUAAUUCCCGAUAGUUUCAUUUUUUCAAAAGAGAGAAUGAAUAAACGGAAGGAGUAAUCCAACCGUUCUAGGAUUGGCCUGCGGCCUAUCAGCUUGUUGGUAGAGUAAUGGUUUACCAAGGCUAUGACGGGUAGGCGGGGUGAGAGCUUGACCGCCAACAAUGGCACUGAGACACGGGCCAUACUCCUACGGGAGGCAGCAGUCGAGAAUAUUGGUCAAUGGGGGAAACCUUGAACCAGCGACGCCGCGUGCAGGAAGAAGGCCUUCGGGUUGUAAACUGCUUUUAUGGGGGGAGAACCACGUUUGACGUGGUGACGGUACUUCAUGAAUAAGGGGAUGCAAAUUCUGUGCCAGCAGCCGCGGUAAUACAGAAUCCCCGAGCGUUAUCCGGAUUUAUUGGGCGUAAAGGGUCCGUAGGCGGUUUGAUAAGUUUGACGUUAAAUACCUUGAGCUCAACUUAAGGAAGGCGUUAGAAACUGUCAGACUAGAGGGCGUUAGAGGUUGAUGGAACACUCGGUGUAGGGGUGAAAUCCGUUGAUAUCGAGUGGAACACCAAAAGCGAAGGCAUUCAACUGGGGCGGCCCUGACGCUGAGGGACGAAAGCCAGGGGAGAGAAAAGGAUUAGAUACCCUUGUAUUCCUGGCCCUAAACGAUGGACACUGGCUAUCUGUAGUGUCGACCCUACAGGUGGCGAAGCUAACGCGUUAAGUGUCCCGCCUGGGAAUUACGGUCGCAAGACUAAAACUCAAAGGAAUAGACGGGGGCUCACACAAGCGGUGGAUCAUGUGGCUUAAUUCGAUAACAAACGAGGAACCUUACCAGGACUUGACAGACUAGUGAAAAUCUUCCGAAAGGAGGAUCUACCCACAAGGACACUAGUCCAGGUGCUGCAUGGUUGUCGUCAGCAGGUGUCUUGAGAUGCUCCCUUAAAUGGGGAAACCUGCGCAACCCUUACCCUAUGUUUUACGUGUCAUAGGGGACUGCCGUAGACAAUACGGAGGAAGGUGAGGAUGACGCCAAAUCCGCAUGGCCUUUUGAUGUCCUGGGCUGCACACAUGAUACAAUGGUUAGGACAAUGGGUUGCCAAGGAGAAAUCCGGAGCCAAUCCCAACAAACCUGAUCUUAGUCCGGAUUGGGGUCUGCAACUCGACCCCAUGAAGCUGGAAUCGCUAGUAAUCGCCAAUCAGCCAUGUGGCGAUGAAUACGUCCCUGGGCCUUGUACUCACCGCCCGUCACGCCAAGCGAGCUGGGAAUAGCUGAAGUCUGCGUCUGACGUGGACGAAGCUAGGUUCAGUGAGAAGGGCGAAGUCGUAACAAGGCACGGGUAGCGGAAGCUGUCCGUGGAUCACCACAUUU